UUAUUAGAUUAUAAUGACUACGUUUGUUACUUUAAUGUUUGUCUAAAAUGGGCAGGCGCUCUAAUCACUUUUGUUUUCAAGACAGCCUUACAGUUCACAGAUGUUAUGGAUACGAUUUGAUGCUAGGGACUCCGAAGAGGUCCGCUAACAUAUUCAAUUCACUAAUGAUCCUUCCGCAGGUUCACCUACGGAAA
This 194-nucleotide unclassified non-coding RNA is filed under the name uncultured fungus. RNAcentral's name for it is "sequence contains ITS1". The record is from RNAcentral. Lineage: Eukaryota; Fungi.